GGUGAAAACAGCAAUUAUAAGAAUGGACACACUGGCUGAACUAGAGAAGCAAGCAUUGCCAUUAUCACUUCCCCCUGGUGGGGCGACCUUGUCAUGUCACAGAGGAUGAGGAUACACUCUGUCCUGAUGAAACCUGAUAGGCUGGAGUCAAUUAGCAGAAGGCUGGAGUUCUGUUCCUAGGAUCUACAUAGCAGCUCACAACCAUCUGUAACUCCAGUUUCCAGGGACCCAACAACACCGUCUUGUAGCCUUUGCAGGCUCUGCAGAUAAAACCCAGGGCCCU
Meriones unguiculatus (Mongolian gerbil) is the source of this 283-nucleotide long non-coding RNA. RefSeq lists it as uncharacterized. NCBI's taxonomy places the organism in Eukaryota, Metazoa, Chordata, Mammalia, Rodentia, Muridae. The record is from RefSeq and is a predicted model, not a curated record. The transcript is spliced from 4 exons.